CCUACGGGAGGCUGCAGUGGGGAAUAUUGGACAAUGGGCGAAAGCCUGAUCCAGCCAUGCCGCGUGUGUGAAGAAGGCCUUCGGGUUGUAAAGCACUUUCAGUGGGGAAGAAAGCCUUGGGGCUAAUACCCUCGAGGAAGGACAUCACCCACAGAAGAAGCACCGGCUAACUCCGUGCCAGCAGCCGCGGUAAUACGGAGGGUGCGAGCGUUAAUCGGAAUUACUGGGCGGAAAGCGCGCGUAGGCGGUCUGAUAAGCCGGUUGUGAAAGCCCCGGGCUCAACCUGGGAACGGCAUCCGGAACUGUCAGGCUAGAGUGCAGGAGAGGAAGGUAGAAUUCCCGGUGUAGCGGUGAAAUGCGUAGAGAUCGGGAGGAAUACCAGUGGCGAAGGCGGCCUUCUGGACUGACACUGACGCUGAGGUGCGAAAGCGUGGGUAGCAAACAGGAUUAGAUACCCCUGUAGUC
RNAcentral lists this ribosomal RNA (465 nucleotides) under Vreelandella stevensii. RNAcentral describes it as "partial 16S ribosomal RNA". It matches the Rfam family "Bacterial small subunit ribosomal RNA", at positions 338 to 795 of the family's 1533-position model. Lineage: Bacteria; Pseudomonadati; Pseudomonadota; Gammaproteobacteria; Oceanospirillales; Halomonadaceae. The record is from RNAcentral.